This 98-nucleotide microRNA precursor is filed under the name Camelus bactrianus (Bactrian camel). RNAcentral's name for it is "mir-544 microRNA precursor family". It matches the Rfam family "mir-544 microRNA precursor family". Lineage: Eukaryota; Metazoa; Chordata; Mammalia; Artiodactyla; Camelidae. RNAcentral also lists the same sequence under 2 other names. The record is from Rfam by way of RNAcentral.
AUCACCUAGGAAUCUUGCUAAAAUGCAGAUUUUGAUUGAAUAGAUCUGGGAUGGGGCUCAAGAAUUUGCAUUUCUAACAGAUUCUCAGGUGAUGUUGA